GAUGAACGCUGGCGGCGUGCCUAAUACAUGCAAGUCGAGCGAACAGACGAGGAGCUUGCUCCUCUGACGUUAGCGGCGGACGGGUGAGUAACACGUGGAUAACCUACCUAUAAGACUGGGAUAACUUCGGGAAACCGGAGCUAAUACCGGAUAAUAUAUUGAACCGCAUGGUUCAAUAGUGAAAGACGGUUUUGCUGUCACUUAUAGAUGGAUCCGCGCCGCAUUAGCUAGUUGGUAAGGUAACGGCUUACCAAGGCAACGAUGCGUAGCCGACCUGAGAGCGUCAUUGGCUACACGGGAACUGAGAAACGGCCCAGACUCCUACGGGAGGCAGCAGUAGGGAAUCUUCCGCGAUGGGCGAAUGCCUGACGGAGCAACGCCGCGUGAGUGAUGAAGGUCUUCGGCUCGUAAAACUCUGUUAUUAGGGAAGAACAAAUGUGUAAGUAACUAUGAACGUCUUGACGGUACCUAAUCAGAAAGCCACGGCUAACUACGUG
Molecule: ribosomal RNA, 497 nt
Filed under: uncultured bacterium
Lineage: Bacteria
Description: partial 16S ribosomal RNA
Rfam family: Bacterial small subunit ribosomal RNA
Source: RNAcentral